RNAcentral lists this ribosomal RNA (1899 nucleotides) under Tetraleberis sp. Australia. RNAcentral's name for it is "SSU rRNA". It matches the Rfam family "Eukaryotic small subunit ribosomal RNA". Lineage: Eukaryota; Metazoa; Arthropoda; Ostracoda; Myodocopida; Cylindroleberididae. The record is from RNAcentral.
CUGGUUGAUCCUGCCAGUAGUCAUAUGCUUGUCUCAAAGAUUAAGCCAUGCAUGUGUAAGUACACGCCAAAUUAAGGUGAAACCGCGAAUGGCUCAUUAAAUCAGUUGUGGUUCCUUAGAUUGUACCACAUCCUACUUGGAUAACUGUGGUAAUUCUAGAGCUAAUACAUGCAAAUAGUGCCUCGAGCCCGUGAGGGUGAGGGGAGCAUUUAUUAGACCAAAACCAAUGGGGAUCUUUUUCCCCUUUUACUUGGUGACUCUGAAUAACUCUCAGCUGAUCGCAUGGCCCAGAGCCGGCGACGUAUCUUUCAAGUGUCUGCCUUAUCAACUUUCGACGGUAGGUUACAAGCCUACCGUGGUUAUAACAGGUGACGGGGAAUCAGGGUUCGAUUCCGGAGAGGGAGCCUGAGAAACGGCUGCCACAUCUAAGGAAGGCAGCAGGCGCGCAAAUUACCCACUCCCGGCACGGGGAGGUAGUGACGAAAAAUAACAAUACGGGACUCUACCGAGGCCUCGUAAUUGGAAUGAGUACAAUUUAAAAUCCUUAACGAGGAUCUAUUGGAGGGCAAGUCUGGUGCCAGCAGCCGCGGUAAUUCCAGCUCCAAUAGCGUAUAUUAAAGUUGUUGCGGUUAAAAAGCUCGUAGUUGAAUCUCAGUUCUGGACGAGCACGGGUCCGCCAUAACACUGGUGGACUGCUGACUUGCCCGGUGCAAAACCGCCCGGCUUCCCCCACGGUGCUCUUCACCGAGUGUCGUGGGUGGCCGACACGUUUACUUUGAGAAAACCAGAGUGCUUAAAGCAGGCGCAAAGACGCCCGAAUGACUGUGCAUGGAAUAAUGGAAGAGGAUCUCGCUUCUGUCUUUGUUGGUUCCUCGGAAGGCGAGAUAAUGAUUAAUAGAAGCAGUCGGGGGCAUUCGUAUUGCGACGUUAGAGGUGAAAUUCUUGGAUCGUCGCACGACGAACUACUGCGAAAGCAUUUGCCAAGAAUGUUUUCGUUAAUCAAGAACGAAAGUUAGAGGUUCGAAGGCGAUCAGAUACCGCCCUAGUUCUAACCAUAAACGAUGCCGACUGGCGAUCCGGCCUAGUUACUCGCACGACUGGCCGGGCAGCCUCCGAGAAAUCAAAGUCUUUGGGUUCCGGGGGAAGUAUGGUUGCAAAGCUGAAACUUAAAGGAAUUGACGGAAGGGCACCACCAGGAGUGGAGCCUGCGGCUUAAUUUGACUCAACACGGGAAACCUCACCAGGCCCGGACACCAAAAGGAUUGACAGAUUGAGAGCUCUUUCUUGAUUUGGUGGGUGGUGGUGCAUGGCCGUUCUUAGUCGGUGGAGCGAUUUGUCUGGUUAAUUCCGAUAACGAACGAGACUCUAGCCUGUUAACUAGCCGGUGGAUCAUUAAUUUGUAUGCGGCGAAGCCUGUGGUGAUCCUGUACAGGAAGCACCCGGCAUAGUCGCGUCCAUCGAGUCUUCUUAGAGGGACAGGCGGCGCUUAGCCGCACGAGACGGAGCAAUAACAGGUCUGUGAUGCCCUUAGAUGUCCUGGGCCGCACGCGCGCUACACUGAAGGAGUCAGCGUGCGCUCCCUGCCCGAGAGGGCCGGGUAACCCGCUGAAAUUCCUUCGUGAUUGGGAUCGGGGUUUGCAACUAUCCCCCGUGAACGAGGAAUUCCCAGUAAGCGCGAGUCAUGAGCUCGCGUUGAUUACGUCCCUGCCCUUUGUACACACCGCCCGUCGCUACUACCGAUUGAAUGAUUUAGUGAGGCCUUUGGACUGGCUCGCCGGUGCGUGUCACUUUGUGGCAUCGUGCUGGUUACCGGGCCGGGAAGCUGGCCAAACUUGACCAUUUAGAGGAAGUAAAAGUCGUAACAAGGUUUCCGUAGGUGAACCUGCGGAAGGAUCAUUA